Molecule: ribosomal RNA, 492 nt
Filed under: uncultured bacterium
Lineage: Bacteria
Description: partial 16S ribosomal RNA
Rfam family: Bacterial small subunit ribosomal RNA
Source: RNAcentral
AGUGAACGCUGGCGGUAGGCCUAACACAUGCAAGUCGAACGGCAGCACAGUAAGUUCUUGCUCUUACGGGUGGCGAGUGGCGGACGGGUGAGGAAUACAUCGGAAUCUACUUUUUCGUGGGGGAUAACGUAGGGAAACUUACGCUAAUAUCGCAUACGACCUACGGGUGAAAGCAGGGGAUCUUCUGACCUUGCGCGAUUGAAUUAGCCGAUGUCGGAUUAGCUAGUUGGCGGGGUAACGGCCCACCAAGGCGACGAUCCGUAGCUGGUCUGAGAGGAUGGUCAGCCACACUGGAACUGAGACACGGUCCAGACUCCUACGGGAGGCAGCAGUGGGGAAUAUUGGACAAUGGGCGCAAGCAUGAUCCAGCCAGACCGCGUGGGUGAAGAAGGCCUUCGGGUUGUAAAGCCCUUUUGUUGGGAAAGAAAAGCAGCAGGUUAAUACCCCGCUGUUCUGACGGUACCCAAAGAAUAAGCACCGGCUAACUUCGUG